AUGUUUUAGUGAAAUUGUGUAGAGUCAACCUUGCAUCUGGUUCUGAGGCUUCGUGGUGGCAUUAUCGAGCCUUCUUUGAUGGCAUUGGCUAGGAAAUACAAUCAGGACAAGAUGAUCUGCCACAAGUGUUAUGCUCGUCUGCACCCCCGUGCUGUGAACUGCAUGAAAAAGAAGUGUGGUCACCGCAACCAGUUGAGGCCAGAGAAGAAGAUCAAGUAGAUGUUUUCGAGAGGCAGGAAAUUCUGAUUCUACUAUUAUUAGAUUUCUGGAUGUUUUCUUAGGACGG
Molecule: long non-coding RNA, 286 nt
Organism: Hibiscus syriacus
Lineage: Eukaryota; Viridiplantae; Streptophyta; Magnoliopsida; Malvales; Malvaceae
Exons: 3
Source: RefSeq, a predicted model, not a curated record